CUCCUUUGUCAUUUUUAUCUCCAAAUAGAAGACCUCUGUUUUCCCAGAAGAUUAAAUAGUAGAAAAGAAGUAGCCCAAGGUGGGUGACUCUGCAAACAGCCCUGGACAACUUUCAGGAAGACAGUUCUGGUCUGUAGCAAUUAACACAUGGUCAUCCUCAGAAAAAGGUCCUCUCAAUUAUUUCCCAGAGAUACCCAUAACUUAAAAUGCAGGAACCAAGAGAUUUGAGCCUAGACAUUUGGAUGAAAAGCGAUUUCCACCUGGAGAAAGUCACUGCCCUUCUGUGCAGAGUACCAUUGUGUCUUGAAUCCAGCUUGGCCAUAAGGAAAUGGGGCGAGACUUUGUCAUGUAUGUCGCUGAAGUUCAGCUAUGCAAAAAUGUUCACCUAUCCUUGAUCAACCAGUCCAGGAACCAUCAAAGAAGAAAAUGAGAUUCGACUUAGAAGACCUGUUCUUUAUAAACCCCUGCACAGCCCUAAUGAUCAACACCACUUCCAGUGCUCAUAAAUUACUGCUUCAAUAAUUGUUCUGCAAUUCUGCCUAUUCUCAUUGAAUGCUUCGUAUAAUCCCUUUAUUUACUUUGGGCUACGAUUCAUUUUUAUCAGUGAGUAUUGUACUUGUUUCAUCU
Molecule: long non-coding RNA, 627 nt
Filed under: Homo sapiens (human)
Lineage: Eukaryota; Metazoa; Chordata; Mammalia; Primates; Hominidae
Description: HSALNT0211961
Source: RNAcentral